AUUGAACGCUGGCGGCAGGCCUAACACAUGCAAGUCGAACGAGUGGCGGACGGGUGAGUAAUGUCGGGGAAACUGCCCGAUGGAGGGGGAUAACUACGGGAAACGGUAGCUAAUACCGCAUACCAUCGGAUGUGCCCAGAUGGGAUUAGCUAGUAGGUGGGGUAAAGGCUCACCUGGGCGACGAUCCCUAGCUGGGCUGAGAGGCUGACCAGCCACACUGGAACGGAGACACGGUCCAGACGCCGAGGGGAGGCAGCAGUGGGGAAUAUUGCACAAUGGGCGCAAGCCUGAGGCAGCCAUGCCGCGUGUAUGAAGAAGGCGUUCGGGUUGUAAAGUACUGUCAGCGGGGAGGCGUUACCCGCAGAAGAAGCACCGGCGAACUCCGUGCCAGCCGCCGCGGUAAUAC
Molecule: ribosomal RNA, 406 nt
Filed under: uncultured bacterium
Lineage: Bacteria
Description: partial 16S ribosomal RNA
Rfam family: Bacterial small subunit ribosomal RNA
Source: RNAcentral